Molecule: long non-coding RNA, 2828 nt
Filed under: Sus scrofa (pig)
Lineage: Eukaryota; Metazoa; Chordata; Mammalia; Artiodactyla; Suidae
Description: lncRNA (ENSSSCG00025037619.1)
Source: RNAcentral
CAUGUUUUACAUUUUAAAAGCACUGUUUCCUUUUUAACAUCACCCUGUGGACUGGAUAAGACAUAGCCAGUCACGUGUGAAGGAAACGUGCUCAUCUGAGUUAAGCAUCCAGCCCUCAGUUUGGGAGCCUAACAGGUGGACUCAAUGCUGGGCCCUGAGCUGCGUCUUGUGGCUCUAAUUUACUCUCCAAUUUAUCCAAUGUGCCCGGGGCACGAUCUUUCAGGGCUGGCAAGCCAUGCCCUCUUGACACUGUGGCUGUCACGGGGCCGAGGAGGAGAAAUCAAUUUUCAUCCAGAAGCUUUUUCAUGCUGGGAGUCACGCAGGGAGUGCCCUUGAUGACUGAGUCAGGGUUUCAGGCAAACAACCUUGUGUGUUUGUGAAUCAAACAUCAGUCCACCCCAGAGACCGGCGCUGGUUGUAAAUUCUUUGGACAUGAUGGAACGCUUUCGGGCUUCCCCUGGAGGGGGUCUGAGCUGUGUCUAGGGCAGAUCUUCUCAGCACUGGUUUGUCCCCCAAAUCAAAGAAAAAUCACUGAAGGUGGUUCUGGACAUUCGUAUCCUGUAUCCUUCCUUUGGCGUGUCUAGUGGACCGCAGGGUCACAGGCACUUGGUUUUGGAGAAGCCUGUCUCCAAGACAUGGGACAUCUCUCCUUCCUCUCAUGCCCAUGACAGUGACCUGGGGCCCCACUGCCUCAGUCACCGGCUGCCCCUCGAGAGGGUUCAGAAUGCCAAGGCCAUCCAGGAUGAAGAGGUCAGAUUUUGCCAGGAACGUUAAGCCUCCCUCUGGUAGACACUGUCAUGUAUUGGUAGUAACUUCCUGUUUUCAGAUGCAAGUGGCCAGCCUUCUCGAAUAGUCAUUCUGUAGAGCUGGCCAGCCAAGUUCCGAAAAACAUCACAUUCUGCCUACGUGAGAUGAUCAUGGCAGGGAGCCCUUGGGGACCCCCAGUGGCAGUUCAGGGUCUGGAAGGGGCCGGCCUUGGGACCUCUGCUCAGUAACUCUCCUCUGAAAGCAGGAAUGCAAAAGCUAUUAUUGGGAAUUUCAAGAAAUGUCAGACAGAGGGAGUUUCCCUGGUGUAUCAGAGAUUCCUGGGAGACUUCAAGGAUGCUCUUGUUACACCUGAUGUCCAACCAAGGCCAGGACAUUUUCUGACCUUCCAUCCUUCCACACAGCUCCAGAAAGGGAUUCUCUCAGGAGGUGGGCAGAGGGUCAGGGAUGCUCCUGGUAUCAGUUAGAGAGAGUGGACUGGGGCCCUUUCCUGGGAUGAGAAGGAGGUCCCCAAACAGCCUUGGGCUUACAGCUAAUAAUAAUAAUAGUAGUAGCUGGCGUUCUGGGCAUAUGCCAUGUGUCAGCUGAUCUGUGUGCUUGUGGCAUGACCUCAACAAAUCCCAGGGCCUCUUGACCUCAAAAGUAGUCAGGGAGCCCCUCCGUGGAGAGUGUGCUCAUUCUGCUCAGGGGGACAAGGGGGCCUCGGGCAGCCCAGUGGUUAAAGUCUGGGCUCUAAAAUCAGGCAGUCCUGGUUCCAGGGGUAGCUCAGACACGUAGGAGCUGGGUGACCUUGUAAACUUUACCUGCUCUCUCUGAGCCUUGGCUUCGCAUCUGUGACAUGGGUAGGAGCAGGUUGCUGUCAUGAUUAAAUGACACUAUUUGUUUUGGGUGCCUGGUACAGGUGAGUAAAGAGAAAUGGAGAAACAGCUGGCGCGGUUAGUAGGUUCAUCGCUAGUGCGCGUAGUAGCUAAUCCGGUUAUCAUGCCUCAUUUAAGUGUGGUUCUAGGUGAACCUCAUGAUUUUUGUUCAGGUGGCGUUUAUGUGGUUUCUGCAGAAGUUGAGCUGUCUGAAGAGCAUAUUGGGUCAUCCUGACACUUGUCUUUUGAUGCCCAUGCAGGGUGGAUGAGAAGAUUGGUCAGCUGCCAGAAGAACUCUCUGUGUGUCUGUGUGUUUCUUUUCUCUUAACAGGGCUGAAUGAGUCAAAGUUACUAUUACUGUAUUUUUAAGUUUUUCUUCUUCUUUUUUUUUUCCCAGAAAGGGGAUGUUCGGGCUGAAGCUGAAGAAGAAGAAGAAGAAAGCAGAGAAGGGGUUAAUCCUAGCCAACAAGGGGGCCCAAGUCCCUGGUGCGGGCCAAGGCCACCCCCCCACUUCCAGUGCCACUGGUCCUCUGGUCACUGGACCAAACAGGGUGGGUGGAUACCUGCUGGGCUGUGGAAGGGGGUCCCCAAGGAGGCAGUGAUGGGAUCGGAGCUCCUGCCUCUGCUCUGAUGUGCUCUGUGGCUCAGGACAAGUCACUCAGCCGCUGCAAGUCCUAGCUUCUCCCUUUGUUAGGAAGGUGGGAUGUGGGUGGCUGGGCUGACCGCACAGGGUCUUGGGUAGAAUCAGGUGAGAUUUUGAAAAUCAGAGGGAGGGUAGCAGCUGCUCUGGGGGGGGGCUUUACCUACACUGUCUCACUUAACCCCUCUGUCAUCCUGCCAGGCCGGGCUAUUAUCCUGCUUUCACAAAUGAGGUUACCGAGAUGCAGAGAGGAUAAGCCAAGCAUGGGAUAGACCAGCUGCAGAAUAGCCCAGCCCAUGCGAAAUGAAAGCGCAAAGCCGUUAGUAAGAACUGAUGAAGGAUGGAAUUCCCAUCAUGGCACAGCGGAAACGAAUCUGACUAGGAACCGUGAGGUGGUGGGUUCGAUCCCUGGCCUCGCUCAGUGGGUUACAGACCUGGCAUUGCCAUGAGCUGUGAUGUGGGUCACAGAUGUGACUUGGAUCUGGCGUUGCUGUGGCUGUGGUGUAGUCUGGCAGCUGCAGCUCUGAUUUGACCCCUAGCCUGGGAACUUCCCUAUGCCGUGGGUG